UAGGGAAUCUUCGGCAAUGGGGGGAACCCUGACCGAGCAACGCCGCGUGAGUGAAGAAGGUUUUCGGAUCGUAAAGCUCUGUUGUUAAGGAAGAACGAGUGUGAGAAUGGAAAGUUCAUACUGUGACGGUACUUAACCAGAAAGGGACGGCUAACUACGUGCCAGCAGCCGCGGUAAUACGUAGGUCCCGAGCGUUGUCCGGAUUUAUUGGGCGUAAAGCGAGCGCAGGCGGUUAGAUAAGUCUGAAGUUAAAGGCAGUGGCUCAACCAUUGUAGGCUUUGGAAACUGUUUAACUUGAGUGCAGAAGGGGAGAGUGGAAUUCCAUGUGUAGCGGUGGAAUGCGUAGAUAUAUGGAGGAACACCGGUGGCGAAAGCGGCUCUCUGGUCUGUAACUGACGCUGAGGCUCGAAAGCGUGGGGAGCGAACAGG
Molecule: ribosomal RNA, 429 nt
Filed under: Bacteroidota bacterium
Lineage: Bacteria; Pseudomonadati; Bacteroidota
Description: Bacteroidetes bacterium partial 16S ribosomal RNA
Rfam family: Bacterial small subunit ribosomal RNA
Source: RNAcentral